This 433-nucleotide ribosomal RNA is filed under the name uncultured bacterium. RNAcentral describes it as "partial 16S ribosomal RNA". It matches the Rfam family "Bacterial small subunit ribosomal RNA", at positions 29 to 507 of the family's 1533-position model. The record is from RNAcentral.
AACGAACGCUGGCGGCAUGCCUAACACAUGCAAGUCGAACGAGACCGUCGGGCCUAGGGGCGCACGGGUGCGUAACGCGUGGGAACUUGCCCUUAGGUUCGGAAUAACUCCCUGAAAGGGGUGCUAAUACCGGAUAAGGUCUUCGGACCAAAGAUUUAUCGCCUUUGGAUGGGGCCUCGUUGGCUUAGUUGGUUGGUAGGGUAAAAGCCUACCAAGGCGACGAUCCCUAGCUGGUCUGAGAGGAUGAUCAGCCACACUGGGACUGAGACACGGGCCAGACUCCUACGGGAGACAGCAGUAGGGAAUAUUGGGCACUGAGCGAAAGCCUGAUCCAGCAGUGCCGCGUGAGUGAUGAAGGCGUUAGGGUUGUAAAGCUCUUUUACCCGAGAUGAUAAUGACAGUACCGGGAGAAUAAGCACCGGCUAACUCCGUG